RNAcentral lists this long non-coding RNA (207 nucleotides) under Panax ginseng (ginseng). RNAcentral describes it as "long non-coding RNA (PGIN_LNC001603)". The record is from RNAcentral. Lineage: Eukaryota; Viridiplantae; Streptophyta; Magnoliopsida; Apiales; Araliaceae.
CAAUGAGGACUUUUACCACAUCAUAUAUAACAUUACGGGUCAUGAUUAUAUCGAAUGAUCCCUGGUCAUAAUCAUACCAAUAAACAGUUCAUCUAUGCACAUAAGCCAAAGAUAUUCAUCAAUCAAUAGUUCAUCUUUGCACGUAAGCCAAAGAUAUACAACUGUAAAACCAAUAAUCAACAGUCCAUCUUUGCACGUAAGCCAAAG